This 715-nucleotide long non-coding RNA is filed under the name Calidris pugnax (ruff). RNAcentral's name for it is "lncRNA (ENSCPUG00000015608.1)". Lineage: Eukaryota; Metazoa; Chordata; Aves; Charadriiformes; Scolopacidae. The record is from RNAcentral.
AUGCGAGGAAUGACGCGGAAAGUCCUGAAGAAUAAAGUAAUGGCAUUUCUUAUUUUUAUUAGAUCAAUCUGGGGCGUACGAGCUCUCAAACCCAGCUUAGGAUCAUCUUCUCUGAAAAGGACUGAGAGGGAACAGGAAAGGCUGGAGCUCAGGAAAACGAGGCAGGUCUGGAAGAAAGAAAGAAAUGGUCCAUACGAGAUGUUUUUGGCUGCUCCUUCUGUGCUGUCUUUUCCUCUGCGAGCAGCCGACCACGUGGCUUCAUUCACUGAAACAGCCCAUUGCAACAAUCAGACAAAGACUUUGACUUUGCCCCCGGCUCCCGUGGAUGCCGACCCUCCGAAGGCUCCAGUCACCUCUAAUUAACACAUCUGUGGAAAUCAUGCACCAGUUGGCAUGACAUUUUUGCCCUGUAAAGACUUGAAGGAGUGAAGCUGAAGAGAUGAAUCCCUGUUUUUCCCUACUGACAUCUUAAUAUCUCAUCCCAGUGCAUGGGCAGAGCAGGUGAGGUGGGUGCUUGUGCCCAGGACUGGGGUCAGCAGCCUAGGUGGGUGCUUGUGCCCAGGACUGGGGUCAAUAGCCUUUAGAUGGCCAUGUAGAUGGCCAUGGCCUCCUGGGCGCAUGUGGCCAUUGGCCCAUCUGACCCACUCUGGUUCAGGCUGGAGGAAAGGCCCCAGAAGCAGCGAUUAUGGGAAUAAAAGGAAAUUUAUACAAGCCA